This 253-nucleotide ribosomal RNA is filed under the name uncultured bacterium. RNAcentral describes it as "partial 16S ribosomal RNA". It matches the Rfam family "Bacterial small subunit ribosomal RNA", at positions 524 to 776 of the family's 1533-position model. The record is from RNAcentral.
UACGUAGGGUGCAAGCGUUGUCCGGAAUUAUUGGGCGUAAAGAGCUCGUAGGCGGUUUGUCGCGUCGGCUGUGAAAACCUGGGGCUCAACCCCGGGCCUGCAGCCGAUACGGGCAAGCUAGAAUUCGGUAGGGGAGACUGGAAUUCCUGGUGUAGCGGUGAAAUGCGCAGAUAUCAGGAGGAACACCGGUGGCGAAGGCGGUUCUCUGGGCCGAUAUUGACGCUGAGGAGCGAAAGCGUGGGGAGCAAACAGG